Molecule: small nucleolar RNA, 108 nt
Filed under: Lachancea fermentati
Lineage: Eukaryota; Fungi; Ascomycota; Saccharomycetes; Saccharomycetales; Saccharomycetaceae
Description: Small nucleolar RNA snR60/Z15/Z230/Z193/J17
Rfam family: Small nucleolar RNA snR60/Z15/Z230/Z193/J17
About the family: The members of this family belong to the C/D class of snoRNAs which contain the C (UGAUGA) and D (CUGA) box motifs. Most of the members of the box C/D family function in directing site-specific 2'-O-methylation of substrate RNAs.
Source: Rfam by way of RNAcentral
GUUCUCUGAAUGAUGAUAGACACCGGUAAUGCAUAGUUCAACUGACUUUUAGAUUGAAGAUAUAAAUACCAUCGAAUUUAGUCUUUCGCUCCUAUCUGACCAGAGAAA